AACUAAACUAUUUUCUG
RNAcentral lists this transfer RNA (17 nucleotides) under Isorineloricaria spinosissima (zucchini catfish). Its description in RNAcentral is "partial transfer RNA-Pro". RNAcentral also lists the same sequence under 2 other names. Lineage: Eukaryota; Metazoa; Chordata; Actinopteri; Siluriformes; Loricariidae. The record is from RNAcentral.